This 262-nucleotide ribosomal RNA is filed under the name Streptococcus agalactiae GB00115. Its description in RNAcentral is "partial 16S ribosomal RNA". It matches the Rfam family "Bacterial small subunit ribosomal RNA", at positions 1 to 253 of the family's 1533-position model. The record is from RNAcentral. Lineage: Bacteria; Bacillati; Bacillota; Bacilli; Lactobacillales; Streptococcaceae.
UUUAAUGAGAGUUUGAUCCUGGCUCCGGACGAACGCUGGCGGCGUGCCUAAUACAUGCAAGUAGAACGCUGAGGUUUGGUGUUUACACUAGACUGAUGAGUUGCGAACGGGUGAGUAACGCGUAGGUAACCUGCCUCAUAGCGGGGGAUAACUAUUGGAAACGAUAGCUAAUACCGCAUAAGAGUAAUUAACACAUGUUAGUUAUUUAAAAGGAGCAAUUGCUUCACUGUGAGAUGGACCUGCGUUGUAUUAGCUAGUUGGU